Molecule: RNA transcript, 3482 nt
Organism: Schistocerca serialis cubense
Lineage: Eukaryota; Metazoa; Arthropoda; Insecta; Orthoptera; Acrididae
Exons: 2
Source: RefSeq, a predicted model, not a curated record
UUCUAAUGUUUCACCAUGUUACAAGAUGUUCAUGUUGAGUGUGCUUAUUAUUACAGUCGUAACAUAUCGACAGCUAAAACUUAUAUUGACAAAGUAGAUAAUCGCUUCGGCAUGCAAAUACUGAGUGAGGCCUGCAACUUAUACGGAGAUGUUUAGUCAUAAAAUUCGUAUGAGCUCAGAGAUACUGUAGCCGUGAAAUGAGAAAAGGUCACCACCAGAGGCGAGCAUCGACGCUAUGCAGCCUGCCGAGGAUCACAGCCAUGACAGUAGGGCAAGCCUUGACUCAUGUUGCCCGGUCAGCUGGCCAAGCAGUACUGGGGACCACCAGGCUGAGCUGUGCCCUGCCUCACCAGAGCCCCAGUCCACCCGGGCAUCUGUAUGGCUUGGCUGGCUGUUGCUCACGUCAUGCACCUGACAGGCACCACACUGUUGCAAGCACAGAACAAAAUCUCUGCAGCAAGCAGUUUUUUACUUUGCAUAGUAUUUAUCAACACAGUACUUAACGUCUGGUGUUAUAUUAAAAUAGCUAAUGGCUGUAACAUCAAGAACAAGAUGGAUACUUAAAUCUCCACUGUUGCUUGUAAUUGUUAAAUCAACUUAUCGUUAUGUGCAUGUAAAAAACUCUGUACCUUAAGACUGUUGACAGACACUGACGUUAGAGGAUUAUAUCAUGGCAGAACUGUUCUCACAUUGCACACUCUUUCCACAUUCUGAAGGCGUCGAUGGUGAAGCUUUGUGCUCUGUAUGACAUUUUGCAAACGUGGAAGACAAAUAUGUUAUAUCGCAUAGCUGUUAAUAAAUUUGGUGCAUUGUUCACAUAAAUUUAUGUCUUUUCACUGUUAUAUGAUCAAAACAUAGAGGACAUCAGUACUGAUAAAUUAUUUAACUAGCAUAGCUAAUUAACAUUGCAUUUACUUUGUAGUGCAGCACAUCUAGAAUAUGCUGUGACAAACUUCCUCUCUCUCAAUUAUCUAAGAGUUGCUUUAGAUGAAACACCUGUGGUACUAGAAAUAAUGCAAGCAAAUGCAUUGACUUCGCUUAAGAGAUUUUGAGUGCUUGCUUUCAGUAGUGCUGCUAGCCUCAAAUCAUUGUCAAGAGGGCCGAUGAGCAGACAGAGGUUUAGAGCCCUCUCUUCCUCCUUAAAGACGAAAGAAUCAGCUAUGAUCAACAACAUGAGGGAGCAGAAGGCAACGGAAACCAUUACAUUAAAGACGCGUAACCAUCUUAUUUAAAUACAAUCUCUUAUCCCGUUAUGGGUGUUUAAACUAUUUAAUGGAAAUAUAAAUUUCAUUUAUAAAUGUGUCAUUUUAUGUGUAUGAGAUUGCUUACCUUACAGUCCACCACUUUCUCAGCACAGUGUUCCUGUAGCUGGUACACCCAUGGUACAAGCAACUGCAGUGUCGAAUCACUGUCAGCUUCCAUAAUCUUGGUAAUACUUUGAGAAAAUAAAUUAAUGUGUCAGCUAACUGAUAAUCCCAGUUCCCAAAUACGCUAUUUUUCCAAAUUCAGCAAUUUGUUCAUGCUGCAUAAGUACGGAUUUUAGCAUGACACACAAAGUCUUCAAGUGAGUCUCAGUGUGCUACUUCAUGGUAAACUACAACCGUGAGUCUUUCACAUGGCCACUCCUUUUUAAGUAAUUUACAGCAUGUUUCACUGAUUGGUACUAUGGCUGAACAUUACGACAAUAUUUCUGCAACCAUUUUUCCUCAAGGGUGUAGGGUAGAACAAUGCUGAGGGAGAAGUUGUCGUAUGGGAGAUGAUGAAAAUUCUCUAGGGACUUUUUCACAUUUUCCCUCCUUAUCAGUAAUAAACAUAACUUUCAAGAGAUGGCUUGUAAAUAUCCCUAACUUUUAGUUUCAUCCCAUACAUUUGUAGCACUUGUCUCCAACAAACAGGAGCUAUGCAAGAAACAGGACCCAAUUUUUGCACUUCAACCCUAAUGAUAUUGAAUGCAUAAUAAGAGUAAAAUAAUGCCUUUUAAUGUACUUGUAUGUCCAUGUGUCAGUUGUACAUGCGCACACGUCAUCCUCCAUAUCCUGCAACACUUGUGGGGACUACAACCACAAGGUAUUCAUCUGCUGUUUCUUUUUCCUUGUGAGAAAUUGUUGGAUGGUGAAGAAGCACAUCCCUUGCAAUUGCAGCAGAGUACUGUGCUUCUAUGUCUGGCACUGUCUGUGAAUGAUCUAGAAAGCAUUCUCCAGCCCCUUUGAUGAAGGACCACAGAUCUCUUGUCCACAUUGUUACACACUGCUCCUGGACAGUAGAUUUUGCUGAUGCUGGAUGGAAGGUCGUCACUACUAUUGAUCUGACUAUAAGAGAAGCUUUGCAGUUAUUCAAGUGUUGCAACAGGCUCCACGAGCUUUCCUGCACAUGACAGCAAGUUCUAGUUCUUUUCAGUAUGGUGAAGGAGUAGACCACGCACCACAUCGAAAACUUAUAAAAUUGUACUGCAAAACACCUUGUUCGAGGGAAAUCAUCCAGGAACAUUACAUGAAGAAGAAUAUAAAAAGUAAGGGUGUACGAAGAGAUUGUUGAAACAUUUCUAGGUGAUGUAAAGCUCUGGACCAUAGUGUAAUGAAAAUUUAAUUACAAAAUUUGAGAUCAAGUUUCAUAAAAGAGGCUUUAGAAAGUAGAGGAAAAAAGAAAGGAUGAAUUGUAUAAACCAAUAAAAAGUCACUUGUACUAUGUUCAUUACUGUAUUACACAUUACAGUGUUUUUCUUUACAAAGACACAAGAAUAGCCUGUUCUUAGUAUAUCAAACCUUCUCAAUUCUUGGAGGAGUGCACACCUGCUCAUGUGUGGUUCAUCAUUCCCGCCUCCCCUCCGCUGUCUGUUUCAUUGUUGCACUGACCUCUGUUGACACCUGGACUCGGCCAGGUACCCGAACAAGUUGCAAGCACUGUUCCCAGUGCAGCUGAGCUUGACUGCCCACGAUGCAGGCAGCAGAACAGAGCAGGCGGGCUAGGGCGGGCAAAUGUGGUGCGAUGCACAGCUUUGGUCACCACAAGGCAUGCACUGUAUCUCAUUUUUUGUGAUGUAAUCAUGGCUUGGUGGCUCAAUGGUACUGUGCCAGGUCUCGGGUUCGAUUCCCAUCAAUCCUAGGAUUUUUAUCUGACACUGAUCAAUUCUUUGACAUUCUACAGCAUUUGUUGAUGUGAAAAAAGCUGAAUUGGACCAUAGUUUGGAAUUCUUGUUACCCUGUAGGUCACUCAUAAGGUGUUUGGGUAAGUCAGUUCAAAUGUCAGAGGAAUGUGAUGGCGUGCCACCUCCAGUAGGACCAUGGUGAGUGAAGAACAUGGUGUACAAAACAAACUUUGGAUUGAUGGCUCCUGUACUGCUUUAUCAUCUACAGUAUAAAAUUCUUGGUGCGUUAAGUUGUCUUUCAGAAACUUGAAAUUGUCUUUUCAUGCAUAAAGUCCUGUACACUUUAGUGUAUACAUUAUUUAGCUGUUCAUUUUUAAAACAGAGUUUUUGUAUUCAA